This 253-nucleotide ribosomal RNA is filed under the name uncultured bacterium. RNAcentral's name for it is "partial 16S ribosomal RNA". It matches the Rfam family "Bacterial small subunit ribosomal RNA", at positions 524 to 776 of the family's 1533-position model. The record is from RNAcentral.
UACAGAGGGUGCAAGCGUUAAUCGGAAUUACUGGGCGUAAAGGGUGCGUAGGUGGUUUGAUAAGUUAGGUGUGAAAGCCCCGGGCUUAACCUGGGAAUUGCGCCUAAUACUGUUAAGCUAGAGUACUGUAGAGGGAGGUGGAAUUUCCGGUGUAGCGGUGAAAUGCGUAGAUAUCGGAAGGAACACCAGUGGCGAAGGCGACUUCCUGGACAGAUACUGACACUGAGGCACGAAAGCAUGGGGAGCAAACAGG